UAUCGUAUGCGCGCGUCCGGUGCCGCCUAUGCGCGUAGUGCUCGCAUGCGGUUAAACGGGAAACAGGAAAGCGCGGUUGCAUGCUGCACGCGCCCAACCUGUGCUGUCCCCGCCAACGGUAAGCGGCCUGCGGACUCCAUGUCCGCGCAUGCGCUUCGAUGCCACUUUCGGCCGUCCGCCGAUGGGAAGGCGAAGCGCAUGAGGCCGUCAGCCCGGAUACCGGCCGGAUGCAAGGGGGCGAA
This 242-nucleotide non-coding RNA is filed under the name Paraburkholderia sp. The record is from RNAcentral. Lineage: Bacteria; Pseudomonadati; Pseudomonadota; Betaproteobacteria; Burkholderiales; Burkholderiaceae.